Molecule: long non-coding RNA, 589 nt
Filed under: Dermacentor andersoni
Lineage: Eukaryota; Metazoa; Arthropoda; Arachnida; Ixodida; Ixodidae
Description: uncharacterized LOC126544163
Source: RNAcentral
GUAAAGUGUGCCACAUGUAUCAUGUGCAUUCUGUUUAGAGAUGCCUCGACCCUUUGAGUUUGCCAUGUGCCUCAAUUGCAAAUCAGAUUCACUAGAAGGUGCUUAGUUAGCAUUUUUUUUUUAAAUGUGUGUGUGGGGAGUGUUAACUUCUUUCACUUGUUUCAAUAUUUUUUAGGAGCCGAAGCCCACGGGAUGCGCGGCCACACCACAGUCAUGACAAGCAACGUGAUGAGAGAGGACGUGAAGAAUGGCCACGUGAGGAAAGGGCUCGUGAUGAAAGGUCCCGCGAGGAUAGACCACGUGAUGACAAGUCACGCGAGGAAAGAUCACGAGAUGAUGGCUCACGCAAUGACAGGUCACGUGAAGACAGGGCUCGAGAUGAUCGGCUGCGAGAUGAAAAAUCUCGGGAAUUGGAUCGCCGUAAAGAGAGCACAAGUCAUCGUCACCGAUCCAGCCCUGAACGCAGCAGGCAUAAUGACCGCUCUCGAGAACAUACCUCACACGAUCACCGAACAUCAUCACGGAAAGAACGUUCCUACUCACCCAUGACUAAGAAUCACCACCGAUAAAUAUCUGUUUUUCUCUUUGC